CGGGCGCGGUGGCGCGUGCCUGUAGUCCCAGCUACUCGGGAGGCUGAGGUGGGAGGAUCGCUUGAGCCCAGGAGUUCUGGGCUGUAGUGCGCUAUGCCGAUCGGGUGUCCGCACUAAGUUCGGCAUCAAUAUGGUGACCUCCCGGGAGCGGGGGACCACCAGGUUGCCUAAGGAGGGGUGAACCGGCCCAGGUCGGAAACGGAGCAGGUCAAAACUCCCGUGCUGAUCAGUAGUGGGAUCGCGCCUGUGAAUAGCCACUGCACUCCAGCCUGAGCAACAUAGCGAGACCCCGUCUCUUUUGCCCCCCUCCCUCAUUAAGGGUACCUUUCGCGAAAGCUCACCAGUUGACGGGAUGCUUGGGGAUUUGCAACCGCCUCAUCGCUGCCCCCUACCGGCGCAUAUUCAAAACGUCUCUGCGAAAAGCUGUUAUUACCUUCGGAGCCAACAGGGGCUGCUCGUUUACCCACAGACAGUCGGAAAAAAAUGGCCGCCGGAUCACAGAGAGCAAAAAGUACGUUCUCUUAAAGAAUUUCCAAGUUCUUCCCGCGGCCGUUCAGGAUGCUGCUUGCAGUUACCAACAUUAUUCCCCUGCACUGAGCUGACCUGAGCUUCCCUGCCUACCUCCUGUCACGGAUGUCACCUUCUUUCACCCCUGUCCUGUCAAGGUUUUUGCUUUAGAAUGCUAUAGACCAAAGACGGGCUAAUCAACAGUCUUACACACAAAUCCUUUCGUUCUACUUGGCUACAGGCAGGGCUAAUCUUCCGAAGAGGAAUCCCACUACUGCCUCCUUAUAAGGGAAAAACUCCUCUCAGAGGAACCCAGAACGCCCUGUGAUGACAGAGGUGAGGGGCCAGCGUGGCAGAAUGCACCACCCUGUCUCCUCGCUUGCUUCUCUCUCCGUCGGAUUGCCAAAAAGGGAACGGCACCUAGACGCCGAAAAGUAACUGAAGCAAAGGGAGUUUAAAGAACGCGCCCAGCCGCCUGGGUCUUGAACCCAGUGUUAAUGAGAGCAAAAACCUCUGCAUCCUCCACUGAGCUGUCCUUGAGCAUGUCUCAUAAUCAUGCUUCAUUUUAAAAACAGAAAUAAAGUAUGUACUUCACUGAUUUAAAAAUAACAUCCUAGGCCGGGCACAGUGGCUCACGCCUGUAAUCCUAGCACUUUGGGAAGCUGAGGCAGGCGGAUCACGAGGUCAGGAGUUUGAGACCAGCCUGACCAACAUGGCGAAACCCUGUCUCUACUAAAAAUACAAAAAUUAGCUGGGUGUGGUGGUGUACGCCUGUAAUCCCAGCUACUCAGGAGGCUGAGACAGGAG
RNAcentral lists this long non-coding RNA (1314 nucleotides) under Homo sapiens (human). RNAcentral's name for it is "HSALNT0376836". The stretch from base 1 to 298 matches the Rfam family "Metazoan signal recognition particle RNA". The record is from RNAcentral. Lineage: Eukaryota; Metazoa; Chordata; Mammalia; Primates; Hominidae.